This 1066-nucleotide long non-coding RNA is filed under the name Oncorhynchus mykiss (rainbow trout). RNAcentral describes it as "lncRNA (ENSOMYG00000053620.1)". The record is from RNAcentral. Lineage: Eukaryota; Metazoa; Chordata; Actinopteri; Salmoniformes; Salmonidae.
AUGUUACUCUCUCCUCCGUGGCCAUUAGAGACUGACCCAUGGUUCCUCUCUCCUCCCUGGCCAUUAGAGACUGACCCAUGUGUCCUCUCUCCUCCGUGGCCAUUAGAGACUGACCCAUGGUUCCUCUCUCCUCCGUGGCCAUUAGAGACUGACCCAUGGUUCCUCUCUCCUCCCUGGCCAUUAGAGACUGACCCAUGGUUCCUCUCUCCUCCGUGGCCAUCAGAGACUGACCCAUGGUUCCUCUCUCCUCCCUGGCCAUUAGAGACUGACCCAUGGUUCCUCUCUCCUCCCUGGCCAUUAGAGACUGACCCAUGGUUCCUCUCUCCUCCGUGGCCAUUAGAGACUGACCCAUGGUUCCUCUCUCCUCCGUGGCCAUUAGAGACUGACCCAUGGUUCCUCUCUCCUCCCUGGCCAUUAGAGACUGACCCAUGGUUCCUCUCUCCUCCGUGGCCAUUAGACACUGACCCAUGGUUCCUCUCUCCUCCGUGGCCAUUAGAGACUGACCCAUGGUUCCUCUCUCCUCCGUGGCCAUUAGAGACUGACCCAUGGUUCCUCUCUCCUCCCUGGCCAUUAGAGACUGACCCAUGGGUCCUCUCUCCUCCGUGGCCAUUAGAGACUGACCCAUGGUUCCUCUCUCCUCCCUGACCAUUAGAGACUGACCCAUGGUUCCUCUCUCCUCCCUGGCCAUUAGAGACUGACCCAUGGUUCCUCUCUCCUCCCUGGCCAUUAGAGACUGACCCAUGGUUCCUCUCUCCUCCGUGGCCAUUAGAGACUGACCCAUGGUUCCUCUCUCCUCCCUGGCCAUUAGAGACUGACCCAUGGUUCCUCUCUCCUCCGUGGCCAUUAGAGACUGACCCAUGGUUCCUCUCUCCUCCGUGGAACAUUAGAGACUGACCCAUGGUUCCUCUCUCCUCCGUGGCCAUUAGAGACUGACCCAUGGUUCCUUUCUGGACACAUCUGUUUUCAUCUUCACACAACCCUCACAGCUCUAUUUUUCCAGUGAGAUAUACAGAGCUAUUUUUCAAUGUCAAAAUGUACUAAUAUACUGUUACGGACCAAAAACGUU